This 454-nucleotide ribosomal RNA is filed under the name uncultured bacterium. Its description in RNAcentral is "partial 16S ribosomal RNA". It matches the Rfam family "Bacterial small subunit ribosomal RNA", at positions 28 to 507 of the family's 1533-position model. The record is from RNAcentral.
GAUGAACGCUGACAGAAUGCUUAACACAUGCAAGUCAACUUGAACUUCGGUUUGGGUGGCGGACGGGUGAGUAACGCGUAAAGAACUUGCCUCACAGUUAGGGACAACAUUUGGAAACGAAUGCUAAUACCUGAUAUUAUGAUUUUAGGGCAUCCUAGAAUUAUGAAAGCUAUAUGCGUUGUGAGAGAGCUUUGCGUCCCAUUAGCUAGUUGGAGAGGUAACGGCUCACCAAGGCGAUGAUGGGUAGCCGGCCUGAGAGGGUGAACGGCCACAAGGGGACUGAGACACGGCCCUUACUCCUACGGGAGGCAGCAGUGGGGAAUAUUGGACAAUGGACCAAGAGUCUGAUCCAGCAAUUCUGUGUGCACGAUGAAGUUUUUCGGAAUGUAAAGUGCUUUCAGUUGGGAAGAAAAAAAUGACGGUACCAACAGAAGAAGUGACGGCUAAAUACGUG